GUAUGGCCUCACAAGUCUUGGUCUACCCACCAUAUGUUUAUCAAACUCAGUCAAGUGCCUUUUGUAGUGUGAAGAAACUCAAAGUAGAGCCAAGCAGUUGUGUAUUCCAGGAAAGAAACUAUCCACGGACCUAUGUGAAUGGUAGAAACUUUGGAAAUUCUCAUCCUCCCACUAAGGGUAGUGCUUUUCAGACAAAGAUACCAUUUAAUAGACCUCGAGGACACAACUUUUCAUUGCAGACAAGUGCUGUUGUUUUGAAAAACACUGCAGGUGCUACAAAGGUCAUAGCAGCUCAGGCACAGCAAGCUCACGUGCAGGCACCUCAGAUUGGGGCGUGGCGAAACAGAUUGCAUUUCCUAGAAGGCCCCCAGCGAUGUGGAUUGAAGCGCAAGAGUGAGGAGUUGGAUAAUCAUAGCAGCGCAAUGCAGAUUGUCGAUGAAUUGUCCAUACUUCCUGCAAUGUUGCAAACCAACAUGGGAAAUCCAGUGACAGUUGUGACAGCUACCACAGGAUCAAAACAGAAUUGUACCACUGGAGAAGGUGACUAUCAGUUAGUACAGCAUGAAGUCUUAUGCUCCAUGAAAAAUACUUACGAAGUCCUUGAUUUUCUUGGUCGAGGCACGUUUGGCCAGGUAGUUAAAUGCUGGAAAAGAGGGACAAAUGAAAUUGUAGCAAUCAAAAUUUUGAAGAAUCAUCCUUCUUAUGCCCGUCAAGGUCAAAUAGAAGUGAGCAUAUUAGCAAGGCUCAGUACUGAAAAUGCUGAUGAAUAUAACUUUGUACGAGCUUAUGAAUGCUUUCAGCACCGUAACCAUACUUGUUUAGUCUUUGAGAUGCUGGAACAAAACUUGUAUGACUUUCUGAAACAAAAUAAAUUUAGUCCCCUGCCACUAAAAGUGAUUCGGCCCAUUCUUCAACAAGUGGCCACUGCACUGAAAAAAUUGAAAAGUCUUGGUUUAAUUCAUGCUGAUCUCAAGCCAGAGAAUAUUAUGUUGGUGGAUCCUGUUCGGCAGCCUUACAGGGUUAAAGUAAUAGACUUUGGGUCGGCCAGUCAUGUAUCAAAGACUGUUUGUUCAACAUAUCUACAAUCUCGGUACUACAG
RNAcentral lists this small RNA (1099 nucleotides) under Homo sapiens (human). RNAcentral's name for it is "BCRC-2". Lineage: Eukaryota; Metazoa; Chordata; Mammalia; Primates; Hominidae. The record is from RNAcentral.